This is a long non-coding RNA of Bombus pyrosoma, 5777 nucleotides long. RefSeq lists it as uncharacterized. The record is from RefSeq and is a predicted model, not a curated record. The transcript is spliced from 2 exons. NCBI's taxonomy places the organism in Eukaryota, Metazoa, Arthropoda, Insecta, Hymenoptera, Apidae.
CACGUAAAAAUGUCAAGGAUGAACAAAAAUUCAAUUUGAGUAAAUAUAGUACAAAAUAUAAUAUAUGUCUAAUAUACGAAAUAUAAAAUUUACAAAAAAUAUCAAUUAGAGGAUUAUUUGAUAAUAUUUAAUAUUAUUUCAUUUUAUAUUAAUUUUUGUGCCACUUUUAAUCGAUUAGAUCGUUGAGUUUCUAAAUAUAUAUACCGAUUGAAGGUUAAGAUAGCAACUUAUUACAUCACAUUGCACAAUAUUAACCGGUUGGCAUUGAACAUUCUGUAGACGGUACACUACGGUUGCAACCGUCCGUAGGUGAAUUUAGGUCAUGUUCCAGGUGCGAGCCAGGUGGUAGUUGAACGGACUUUCAACAAAGCAUACUGACAAUAGACCUGGGGCAAAUCAGGAUCUUUUCAAUAAGAUACACGUUCAAUCGUAUAACUUGCACAAAAGAAAUGAGCAACCAAAAAAGAAGAUAAUAAAUAUCGUUGGACAAGAAAAAAGAAAUGUUAAGAAUUCCUAUAGUAAUAUCAACGGACUUUUUUAUCAAUAAAAUUUUGAGUCAUCAUUGCCUUUCUGUAAUGUAAAUUAUCUGCAUUCCAUAUUACUUACAAAUUUACCAAAAUCCACGAUGAUUCAAAAUAAACAGCGAAAAGAAUACAAUAUUCUAAAAAUUUCAUUUUUAUUUUUGUAAUGUUUAACAGCUAAGCACAGUAUCUAUAUAAAUGAAUUUUCUUGUUAAUAUCAAGAGCCUCGUUGAUAAAACAAGAUCAAUAAUAAUGCUAUCUGCUCGAUAUUUGAAACGUUUUUCAGACAAGAGACAAGAGAUAUCCACAACAUAACAUACGCAAGUCUUUCUAACUAAUACAAUCUAAGUAAUAAAAUUCUAAGUAAUACGAUCCUGCAUAUCAUUGUUAGGAUUAUAUCGAAAUAUAAAUUUUGAUUGAUAUAAAUAUCUUUUUUUAAUCGGAUAACUAACUUCACAAUGGAUACUCUUCCACGAAACCAUGUUAUUAUAGGAAAGUUCUCUAAAAUUAACGUUUUAGGAAUUGUAAAAAUAUAAUGCGAUUAAUAAAACGGAAUUAUUAAUUUUUUCUAUUUUACAGAUAAUAUCAAAUCUUUCGUAGAAUUUUACUACCGAUCAAAAAUAUAAUAAUAAUCGCUACUGUAAGAUGUAAACUGUAAGCGAUCAUGGAUAUUAAGCAAUCAAUGAUAAGAUAUUGGAGUACAAUCAUUCGAUUAAAAUAGAAAAUAGACCGAUAAACGUUUCAGUGAAAUUGCGAUUGCUCGAAGUUUCGUUUAGAUUAGAUGUGCACAAAUAUUGAUUAUGGCAUCGAGAUCAGAUAAAUAACUUUCUAAAAUAUCGAAUUGAGAAAAAAAAACAAUCUCGAGAGCUACUUCGGCAACGUCUAAUCACAAAAUCGGUUAGAAGUCACUUGAGAUCACGCAAAAUCAAGCAGAAUUAAAAAUUCACGAUAUUGAAUUUGUUAUUAAAAUAGACGAAAUUAAUAGACGAAAAAUUGUUGUCAUGUUUAUGAAUAAUCCAAAAUAGGUUUUCUAGAUUUUAUUGAUUCUAAACCAUACAUCAUUGUGCUCGCUAUCAGAACAAUUCAUUUUCAUAGAUCAAAUUAAAGAAAGAGAUUCUAAUGUAGCGUAACUUUUUUUUUUAGAACUAGGUGAGAUUCUAGUUUUAGAAGUUAAAUUAUAUUUCACGAGAACAAACAGAUCAAUGGUUGUACUUCGCUUGAGUAAAGCCAAUUGCGUAUCAAUACGUAAUACGCCGUUUAUAUCCUUGACACUUUAUAUUGUAGUAUAUUUCCUUUGUGUCUCGCGUAUGUUUGAAACUAUUGUGAUCGAUGCUGAGAGCCGGACAUGUGCGAAUGUCUGUCACGCAAUUUUUAAUCCGCGACGUGAAUUUAUCAUUUGAAAUCUGCUUAUAAUUCUUCGGCUAUAGCUUCCUCGAGUUAGAGGACUGUACACUUCGAUCUACUUGGCAUAGUUAUUUUCAUGUUAUUAUUAUUAUUCUUAUUAUACAAGUCUCUACGGUAGAUUUUAAAGAAUCGAGAACAAUUUGAGCAUCGAUGUACAGACUCUUGAUGAAUGAUUAAUGCCUGACACGGAGGGGCUCAUGGAAAUUCAAGACUGAAUUGAACUCAAGUGGCGUGAUGUAUUUUGUUGAGGAUAAAUUCCAAUAAAAAAAGCGUAACGGCAUAUUAUUUAAUCUAUGCAUUAUUCAGAAAUUAUAAUACUGUGCUUUUCUCUAUCACUCUCGAUGAUGAAACAUCAAUAUAUUUACAAGUUGUUUACGUAUUUCCUUCGAUUCAAUUCCCAAUUAUUAUCACCCUAUCUUUGACCAGAAAAAAAAAGAUUGUUGAACUCCAAUUAAAAUGUGUUGUUACUUGAUUAUAUAUCCAUAAAAUUAAUUGUAUUUUUGUUUAAUAUUUUUACUUAAAUACAAAUUUUUAUAUGAGUCUAUAAUGACGAAGAUGACUGAAACAUAACGUCAUUCGAGAGAAAAUUAUCAUGAUAAUUGUAACGUCUAAGAUGUCUCCUACUGUAGGAAUUAAGAGUUAAGAACUUUUGAAGUCAUAUCAAGCUGGUUUAAUCGGACACAAUAUUCCCAGACGUGAUAACAUGAAUAAUCAGAGAAUAGAGAACGUGCAAGCUAUAUACUUGAUCGCUCAAACUAGAUGACAUCAUCCUAUUCAACAUAUGCCUCGGCACUGACUUCCUCUGAAACAACACGUCUCUGUCGAUGGAAAUAAGUUUCGAAUUGACUUUGUCUGAACUGUACAAUCUUUUAACUUGCAGUUUGUUUCUCGUAUUCAUUUAUAUCUCCGCCUGAACAAAGAUUCUUUCUGAAUGAAGAGCCAAGGUCUGCUAUUUGGAACUUUCUAAAUGAAAAUCGUGUAAGAAUAGUUUAUAGCUUGAAAUAUUUGAAAAAUAAUUCUGGACAAUUUUAUAGAUAAUUCCAAGUUUUCCAAGAAAUCAACAGAAAUAUAAUCGAUAUUCAAUAACACAGAGUUUACCUUGAGAUCGUAAUCAAUGAUUUAAUGAAAAACUAUGAAGCUAAAUACAGUACCAUGUAAGCUAUUUUUUAAUAAUAAUCUUAUUUUACGUUAUUUACGUUAAUAGCAACGUUGACAAUAAAUCAUAAUAUAUUAUCAAAUAAUUGAAAGAGACAGUUUAGAAAUUCGGAAAGAUCAGUAUUUUAAACAGAAAAUAUUAUUCAUAUAUGUUAAUACAUUUCACAUUUCCGAAUAGGAAAAAAUAUUCUAACGCCAGUAAUAGUUCGUUUUGUGAGUACAUAAAUCAAUUUAGCCGUUAAGCUUAAUGCUUGCAGUUAAAACUACUAUAAGCGUAUUGAUAGUUUCAGAGAACGAUACUUAUUGGCACGUUAUUGCUGUUAAUUGGCGAUAUAAAGUAUCAUUGUUCAAUCAUCUAGCGUUCUUUUAAACAUGCAAUGCUGCAAAGUAUAUGUUAAAACGAAAAAGAAGAAAAAAUAUAUAUUUUCAACUGUGUCACGUAAUGGAAAUCGUUUCAAUUUCAGAAAAAUCAACUAUCUUGCUAGUUUUCUAGAACGCUAAUAAAACCUGUUUUCGGUUUGAAAAACAGCGAAGCCUUGAAAAGUGUUCCGUCGCGACACAAAAGAAACGUUGCCAAACGAGCAACGUCUUUUCUUUCUUUUCUCUGUUUGAAAAAUCUCGCAUGCGUAGCUACGUUUGUCGUACCUGCGCGCAAAAUACCCAAAAUAUACCGAAACGCAGAUGAGUCAACAUUUCCAGGACAAGGUUUCUGACGCAUAUAUAAUCAAGUUCGUGAUAACAAAACUAUAAUGAAACGCGAUACAGUCGUCGAAAUUUAUGAAAGGUUGUGAAAAGCAAACGGAACCGGUUAUUUCACCAUUGAUCCGAUAUUUAUCUCUAUUCUUAGAAAGAGUAAAAUCGUGUACUUCCCUGUUGCAGCGAUACUUAUCUUUGUGAAAUGCUACAAAAGUCGAUCCACUGCGUUCCACGAAUGCGUUAAAAAAUUACGAAAACUAUAUUCAUGUACGGCUUUUAUAUGUUAGCUUGUUACCAUGAUUCCUUUUUACACAAGUCGAUUUCUCAAAUAAAUCUUAAUAUAAACUUAAUUGUUUGUAUAUGUAUAUAGGUUAAUAUAGAUCGUGAUUUUAAGAUAGAAAUUUUGCGUAAGAUUAAUCGCUAAUAUUAAAUACACAAUGUAAAUACGAUAGAGCAGGUUUAUAUGAUAAUGAUAUAUUAUUAAAUAACUACAUAAAAUAAAUAGUGCAACCUAGCUUUGUAGAUCAACUAAUUUAUGGUGAAUAUUUUCUUUUUUAUAUUGCUACUUCGUAUGAAUUAUUGAUCGCGUAGAAAACUGGUAAAACAUUUGGAGUACGUCAUGCGUUAGUAUGUGUAAUGUAUAUCGUUUCACAGAAUACAGAAUGAGAUUUAAGUUUAUCUUCGAUAGUUGCGAUAGCUAACCAACGUGUCAGGCAAUCUUUUUUACUCGUGUUGGAUUAAUUGUCUGUUUAGGGAGAAAGAGUUAUCAGCAAUAUACUAAAUAGAUGAAUUGUAUACAUCGAUUGUUUGGCAAACAAAGGAUCGAGCUCAAGUUAUUUCAGUCAAACAAUCAAUCUGAUUGAUUCUUUUUAUUCGUUUACGUAACGAAUUAAAAUUUAAAAAUAUUACUUAUAAAUACUUAUAAAUAAAUAAUACUUAAAUAUUAUCUCAUUUGUCUAGCUAUUAAGACAACCUCAGAAUUUCAUUCAAUUCUACGUGCCAAUUUUGUAUAGGUUUCUGUGCCAAAAUUUUAUUUACAAUAUAGAAAUCACACAGUGGAUAAUUUAAUCUCCGUUUAUUCGACGCUAGACAUACUUGCAGUAUUGUACUUUUUCAUAAUGGACAAAGACAAAGAAGAAAAUGUACUACCGAUCGCAUGAUUACGUUUCGUAUGUGAUGUAACCAGGAACUACUGAUUUCACAGUACCUCGUGGUACGCUCGAAAAUUACUACGUUACGUAAAACAUCUAAUACAAAAGACCGUGAGUAAAAAAAAGACUAUGUAUCGUUAUAUGCAAAAUGGUUAAAAGAAAAGCAAGAUUUGAUUGAAAUGAUGAAUACGGUUAUGUGGUGGAAGUAUUUUUCUGAUUGAACCAUUCUCUUCCAAAUGUUGAUAUAUAUAUUCGGAAAUUAUACAAGAAAAUCAAGAAAAUGCCUUUAAUUCAUCUAACUUAUUCACUAUACACAACUUCUUUACCAAAACAUACAGACUAUCAAAGAGCUUUACGGCACCUCACUAGGAAGUUGUGCUAUUGCUAAUGUUACUAGUAUUAUUAUCGACGUCAAUUAACACGAUUUCAGACUUCCUGGAAAAUGGCGUCAUGUAUAUAAAUUGCGAGAUAUCUCAGAACAUACCCAUAAUCACGAGCAAAUACCGCAUGACGCUGAAUUUACAUCGUGAUAGCGAUUAAAUUUCACAUUAGCGUACUCUAAAACUCUACCUAUGUAUGAGUUCUUAAUGACACAACGCGCAAUACAAGAAACGAUUCCUUUAAUUAACGUAGAGAUAUCAACGACUAUAGUGAAACAUACACAGAAUAUUUCACUUUGCAACGAUUCCCAUUAUUCAUAAUGUUCUUACAUAAACACAUCUCAUUAUAUAUAUAAUUUGCAUUUUAACUGUGAAUUACUGUAUGAACUCUGAAUUCAUCCAAUAUUAUGAAAUAUUAAUGCAAAAUAUAUGUAACAUAUGUAAAAUACAUGCUCGAGUUACUUGAAUAA